This 258-nucleotide ribosomal RNA is filed under the name uncultured bacterium. Its description in RNAcentral is "partial 16S ribosomal RNA". It matches the Rfam family "Bacterial small subunit ribosomal RNA", at positions 524 to 776 of the family's 1533-position model. The record is from RNAcentral.
UACGUAGGGUGCAAGCGUUGUCCGGAAUUAUUGGGCGUAAAGAGCUCGUAGGCGGUUCGUCGCGUCGGCUGUGAAAACCUGAGGCUCAACCUCAGGCCUGCAGUCGAUACGGGCGGACUUGAGUACUGCAGGGGAGACUGGAAUUCCUGGUGUAGCGGUGAAAUGCGCAGAUAUCAGGAGGAACACCGGUGGCGAAGGCGGGGUCUCUGGGCAGUAACUGACGCUGGAGGAGCGAAAAGCCGUGGGGGAGCGAACAGG